Molecule: ribosomal RNA, 253 nt
Filed under: uncultured bacterium
Lineage: Bacteria
Description: partial 16S ribosomal RNA
Rfam family: Bacterial small subunit ribosomal RNA
Source: RNAcentral
UACGAAGGGGGCUAGCGUUGCUCGGAAUCACUGGGCGUAAAGCGCACGUAGGCGGAUCUUUAAGUCAGGGGUGAAAUCCUGGAGCUCAACUCCAGAACUGCCUUUGAUACUGAGGAUCUUGAGUCCGGGAGAGGUGAGUGGAACUCCGAGUGUAGAGGUGAAAUUCGUAGAUAUUCGGAAGAACACCAGUGGCGAAGGCGGCUCACUGGCCCGGUACUGGCGCUGAGGUGCGAAAGCGUGGGGAGCAAACAGG